Molecule: long non-coding RNA, 1178 nt
Organism: Astatotilapia calliptera (eastern happy)
Lineage: Eukaryota; Metazoa; Chordata; Actinopteri; Cichliformes; Cichlidae
Source: Ensembl
CUUGUGGCCAGACCAGUCUGUUGAAUAUGUGUUUCUGAAGCUACACCUAUAUGAAAUAGGACACGCACAUACACACAGAUAUACCUACAUAUCAAUGGACAGCUGUUGUCAUAACAGUAGACCAAUGUCCUCUGCACUGCAGAUACAUUUUUUUCCUGGGACAUAUAGACAAAAAACUAUAUUUUAGGCUCUGUAGGUACUUCAUCACUGUCUCCCUUCUUUACCUUCUCUGCCUUACUUUCUUCUCCCCUUAUAUCCUUCCUAUUGUGUUCUCACCUCAUUUUUCUUCCUAUCAGCCACUUGUCUGUUUUUUUUCUAUAUUACAUUUGUAUUUUUUUCUUUCCCACUCCAUUUCCUUUUCUUAAAUCCUUUUCUUAAACCCCUCAACGUCCCAGAGCAUCCUAUUGUGUCUCUCUCCAUCUUUACCACUUACUUCAUCAUUCUAUACAUUACCUCUUCCUCCUCCUUCUCUGCAUUAAACGUUCCCUUUCUCUCUCUUUUUUUCUUUGUCCUUUUUUUCUCUCUCCCUGCAGUGUCUCUCCUUCCCCUCCCUCACUCGGUCUCCUUUCUCUCUUUCGCUCUCUUCCUCCCUUGUGUCUAUUGGUGUUAGCCAGUGCCAGACUGUUGUAGAAAGAGAGUACUGCAGACUCCGGGCGGUUGGUAUUUGUGCCAGCCGUUAGGCGCACACACACACAUACGCAGAGUCAAUGAGGACAAUGUGUCUGUGCUGAGAAGGGAAGAAAAAAUGCAUGCUUUCGCUGCCACCCUGAGGCGACAGAGAGUAUAGCUGCAGCUGGGGUCAUUGAGGGGAGACAGAGAGGAUGAUGAAAUACUGGAAGCUUUUCAGUAACGACUGAGCCGAGCCGGGCUGGGUGGGCGGGAUGAGCCGCUGUGAGCUCACUGCUGCUACUACGAGCUCACGGCUGCUAUUAUGCAAGAGAAUGAAGCGAAGGGAGGGAGAGAGAAUCGAUGCAAACAACAGGAGGUUCAGCGAGGAUAGUCGACUCAGUGGGAUGAUGUACAGAAUAUCAUCAGCGCUGGCGCCUUAAAGCCAGCCAAUGCACGUAGGGAUGAUUUUUCACAGCUCUAUUGUUUCCAAUAGUGGUGAUUACUUUCUUUAGAUGGCAUUCCAGUGAAGACUACUGCCCUGAACAGUAAUCAUCACAAAGACAAAUAGU